CUCCGCGCGUCGCACCGACGCGCGCUUAGUGUGCCUCACGCACCCACAGUGUGUGCGACUGUUGCGUCACGCACAGCGCGGCUGACACACGCGUGUGUGCAUUUUACUCGUCGUCGUCGUUGUUGUCGUCCGUCAUCCGCCGUGGUCGUCGUGUAGUACAUUCGUAGGCCUACCUAAGUUUAUUGUUAGAGAGCGUGCGGCGCACGCUGUGGGCCGAGCUUGAGAAUUUAGUACGCCUCGUACGCUGCUCCAGUCAUCACGUGCGCGUCUCUGUCGCCGCGAUUGUUUCUUCAGAUGCGAAUGAAAGAAAUCACAGUGAUAGCGCGCUCAGCGCGUCGCGCGUCACGCGUCACCUGGCUGAUCCGCGAGGUGUCGAUUUUCGGUUAGUGCCGCGUCCGGAAAUUUUGACGAGCGAACGAGUGGGAGUGUUGCUUGCAGUCAUGUGAUCUGUUUGCCGAGAGAUGAGCGAGAAAGCAGAGAACUUGAGGUGAAAGAUCGUGAUGUCCUUUGAUGAAGAUCAACGAAACAAAGGACGAGAAAUACGUGAAUACGAGUUGGAAGGAGAACACAUUGGAAUCGAUCGCUGGAAUCGCCAAAGCUCGAACGUGAAGUUUACGGGCGAGAGGUUUCUCGAAGAAAUUUGAAAAUACGGCUGCGUUGAACUGUAAUUUCCGGCAAGGAGAAAUUGCUGGUGUAAUCGCCGCCGCGUACUCCGAUGCCGAGGCGCGGGACAUUACCGUAGGAGUGCGGCGGCGAGGAAGAAGAAGCUGAAACUACUUUCGCGUGUUAAGUGAAACUACGUAAUACGCGCGCGAAGACACGUAAUGCAACUUCGAUGAUCGAGCUUUCAGUGAAUCCAUUUGCAAACGUAAUUCCUACGUGCCGUGGGGAGGGAACGAGAGUGCCGUGAUAACGAAGCGAGUCGUUAAAAAACAAAAGUCAUUUCGUGCGCGUCGUUUGGUAAACCGAGCGCGUGGCGCAAUGCAGGCCGUCGCGUCUCUGAUACAAUCGCCGGCUAUUAAUGAAUGCAGUUCGCAUCCGCGGCACGCGCGUUAAGAUCGUUACGAAAUCUCGCGUCACGUGUGCGAGAGCCCAAAGCUACGAAGGAAGAAAGGAAGGGAGCAAGGUAGGAAGGAAGGAAGGAAGGAAGGAAGGAAGGAAGGAAGGAAGGAAGCACGUGAGGCAUUAUUAAACUUCUCGCGCUUUAAUCCGGAUGUAACGCGCACGUUUACGUGGUUGGAACGAAAACUAUGCGGCACGAUGAAGGGGCCAAGAAUCGGUGGUGGCCUACCGAGCGAGAAAAGGCUGGACUACUGCCAGAAGACGCGUCAAGCUCGAGGAGCGUUGCUGCUGUACUUGAGUAUCUACACGUUGCUGCCGGCCGCUAUUUUCACUGCUCCAGCGCACGUGCGCGAAACAUCCAGGGAAGGUGCGCAGCGACGUGUAAACGACGCCAAUAAUGACCCGGCGGAAGAUUUGCCGGUUUUCGAGGCGACAGCGGCGAACGUCAGUGCGUUCGUAGGGCACACCGCGUAUCUGCCGUGCCGCGUGCGAAACUUGGGCGACAAAGUAGUCUCCUGGAUGAGGAGCAAGGACCUGCAUAUCCUUACUUCGGGAAAUUUUGCGUUCAGCUCGGACGCGCGAUUCGGAGCCCAGCACACGCCGGGCAGCGACGCCUGGACUCUCAGGCUGGACAACGCCAGGAAGACGGAUUCUGGCAAGUACGAGUGCCAGGUCAAUACGGAGCCGAAGAUCAUGUAUGCAGUGCAGCUCUCGGUGCGAGAUCCGGACAAACCGGAGGGAUAUGACGAGCCGCAUUCUCAACAGACGCGCAUAAGUUAUGAGAGUACCGCGCCGGUGGCGGACAUAAUGGGUCCCCGGGAGCAAAGGGUGCCGGCGGGUUCGACGAUCACCCUGAGAUGCGUCAUAUUGUCGCCGUAUCAGACCCGUCCCAUCAGGGGUGUACAAUGGCUUCGGGAUAACAAACUCCUAACAUUCCAGGCAGCGCGCGGAGGGAUCAACGUGGAGACCGAAAGGGGUGCGGCACGUACGGUGUCUGUGUUGACUUUGGCGGCGGUGACGCAGGAUGACGUCGGGAACUACUCAUGCAGGCCGACGGAGGGUCGAUCAGCCACUGUCACCUUGGUCGUUGAGGAAGGUUAGUCUCGGCCUUUCACCGCUUCUAUUGGUCUAUCGCGACGAGGAAGCAACAGCAACUGCGUCUGGGAACGCAUGGAAGCCAUGCAACGUGACGCCGGAUACGUCUCUGCCGGAAGUAACGUCAGGCACUGGCCCG
RNAcentral lists this unclassified non-coding RNA (2296 nucleotides) under Harpegnathos saltator (Jerdon's jumping ant). RNAcentral's name for it is "zwei Ig domain protein zig-8, transcript variant X5". Lineage: Eukaryota; Metazoa; Arthropoda; Insecta; Hymenoptera; Formicidae. The record is from RNAcentral.